RNAcentral lists this long non-coding RNA (387 nucleotides) under Olea europaea (common olive). RNAcentral describes it as "long non-coding RNA (OEUR_LNC009060)". Lineage: Eukaryota; Viridiplantae; Streptophyta; Magnoliopsida; Lamiales; Oleaceae. The record is from RNAcentral.
UUAAAUGAAGGCUGGCCUAUAAACGCAAAUAAUCAAAUCGAUCAUGAUACCAACAUUUUCAAAGAAGUAUAAUCAUUACCCAAUUGAAAUGGUAUUCUCUGAUGAUGUCAACCCCUCCCCAACAACCUCAAACAAUAUAGGUGACACCUCUGACGUGGGCACGUAUCAUCAACCAAUAAGAUGAGAGUAAUGAUUACCUAGUACCAUGUCAUCAUGAUCUAAGCCACAGAUUGUGUCCUAAACGAAAUUAUGACCUAAACGGUUGACCUCUACAGCCAACCAUACCUUUUCAAAUAAGACGAUGGCACAAAAAUCAAGCUUUGAUAACGUAGCAUGACAUGACUAGUAGAAUGUUGUUGUUAUGGCUAUAAACAUGGACAAUCGGUC